This 459-nucleotide ribosomal RNA is filed under the name uncultured bacterium. RNAcentral describes it as "partial 16S ribosomal RNA". It matches the Rfam family "Bacterial small subunit ribosomal RNA", at positions 338 to 795 of the family's 1533-position model. The record is from RNAcentral.
CCUACGGGAGGCAGCAGUGAGGAAUAUUGGUCAAUGGGGGAGAUCCUGAACCAGCCAAGCCGCGUGAGGGAAGACGGCCCUAUGGGUUGUAAACCUCUUUUGUCGGGGAACAAAACCCGGGACGUGUCCCGGACUGCGUGUAUCCGAAGAAAAAGCAUCGGCUAACUCCGUGCCAGCAGCCGCGGUAAUACGGAGGAUGCGAGCGUUAUCCGGAUUUAUUGGGUUUAAAGGGUGCGCAGGCGGUCCGUUAAGUCAGCGGUAAAAGUGCGGGGCUCAACCCCGGCGAGCCGUUGAAACUGGCUGUCUUGAGUGGGCGAGAGGUAUGCGGAAUGCGCAGUGUAGCGGUGAAAUGCAUAGAGAUUGCGCAGAACUCCGAUUGCGAAGGCAGCAUACCGGCGGCGAACUGACGCUGAGGCACGAAAGCGUGGGGAGCAAACAGGAUUAGAUACCCUUGUAGUC